GUCUCUGUAGCGCAAUGGAUAGCUCGUUGGACUUCGAAUCCAAAGGUCGUGGGUCCGAAUCCCACCUGGGGUG
Molecule: transfer RNA, 73 nt
Filed under: Trichonephila inaurata madagascariensis
Lineage: Eukaryota; Metazoa; Arthropoda; Arachnida; Araneae; Nephilidae
Rfam family: tRNA
About the family: Transfer RNA (tRNA) molecules are approximately 80 nucleotides in length.
Source: Rfam by way of RNAcentral